AAAAAAAAAAAAAAAAAAAAAAAAAAAAAAAAAGUCUUCCAACUAAAAAUAGCCUAGGGCCAGGUGUUUUGAGUGCAGAAUUCACCAGAUAUUCAAAGAAGAGUUAAUGCUAAUACUCUGUAAAUUAUUCCACAAAAUAGAAAUAAAAGGAACAUAGCCCAAUUAAUUUUAUGAGGACACAGUUUUCCUGAUACCCAAACCACAUGAAUACCCAACAGAGAAAGAGAAUUACAGACCACUUUCCCUUAUAAACUUAGAUACAAAAAUACUCAAUAAAAUACUUGAAAACCAAAUCCAAGAAUAUAUCAAAAAGAUCAUCCACCAUGAUCAAGGAGGCUUCAUCUGAGAGAUGCAGAGAUGGAACAACGUGAAAAUCAAUAGAUGUAAUCCACCAUAUAAACGAACUGAAAGAAAAAAACUACACAUGGUCAUCUCAGUAGAUGGAGAAAAGACCUUUGAAAAAAUCCAACACCUUUUCAUGAUUAAAAUCCUGGAGAGUUUAAAGGUACAGGGGACAUACCCAAAAUAAUAAAGGCAGCUCACAGUGCACCUGUAGCCAACAUUAACUUAAAUGGAGAAAAACUCAAAACAACUCCACUAAAAUCACAAGCAAGACAAGGCUGUCCACUCUCUAUCUAUUCAACAUAGUACUUGAACUCUUAACUACAGCAAUAAGACAACUGAAGGAAAUCAAAGACCAAACCUAAGAAAAAUAGGGAUAGAAGAAGGAGAAUUCCACCUUAAAGGCACAGAAAAUAUAUUCAACAAAGUCAUAGAAGAAAACUUUCCCAACCUAAAGAAGGACAAGCCUAUGAAAGUACAAGAAGCUUACAGAACACCAGGUAGACUGGACCAAAAAAAAAAGUCCCCUUGCCUAAUAAUAGUCAAAUCACUAAACAUACAGAAAAAAAAGAGUAUUAAGAGUUGCAAAGGAAAAAGGCCAAGUAUAAAGGCAGACCUAUCAGAAUUACACUAGAAUUCUCAAUGGAGACUCUGAAAGCUAGAAGGUCCUGGACAGAUGUUCUGCAGACAAUAAGAGACCAUGGGUGCCAGCCCAGACUACUAUACCUAACAAAGCUUUCAAUCAUCAUAGAUGGAGAAAACAAGAUAUUCCAUGACAAAGCCAGAUUUAAACAAUACCUGUCCACAAAACCAGCCCUACAGAAAGUACUACUAAAAAAAAAAUUCUAACCUAAGGAAAUUAGCUGCACCCACAAAAACACAGGCAAUAGAUAACCAACAAACUCCAAAGAAGGGAAACACACAAACGCUACCACCACCACUACCAAAACCCAAAAUAACAGGAAUUAAUAACAAUCACUGGCCAUUAAUAUCUCUUAAUACCAAUUAUCUCAAUUCAUCUAUAAAAAGACAGGCUAACAGAAUGGGUACAGAAACAGGACCCAUUCUUCUGCUGCAUACAAGAAACACACUUCAACCUCAAAGACAGAUAUCACCUCAGAGUAAAAGGUUGGGAAAAGAUUUUCCAAUCAAAUGGACCUAAGAAAUAAGCUGGUAUAGCUAUCCUAAUAUCUAACAAAAUAGACUUCAAACUAAAAUCAGUCAAAAGAGAUGGAGAAGGACAUUUCAUAUUCAUCACAGGAAAAAUCCAUCAAGAUGAAGUCUCAAUUCUGAACAUCUAUGCCCCAAAUAUAAGAGCAGCCACAUUUGUAAAAGAAACAUUACUAAAGCUUAAAUCACACAUCAAACCACACACACUAAUAGUGGGGGACUUCAACACCCCAUUCUCACCACUGGAUAGGUCUGCCAGACAGAAAUGUAACAGAGAAAUAAGGGAACUAAUGGAUGUUAUGACUCAAAUGGACAUCUAUAGAACAUUUCACCCAAACACACACACACACAAAAUACCUUCUUUUCAGCACCUCAUGGGACCUUCUCUAAAAUUAACCACAUCCUUGGUAACAAAGCAAACCUCAACAGAUACAAAAAAAAAUUGGAAUAACCUCCUGUAUGUUAUCAGAUCGCCAUGGCUUAAAGAAUUCAAAACAACACUCAAGGCAGAAAGCCUACAGACUCAUGGAAAUGAACAAUGUUCAACUGAAUCACCACAGGGUCAAGGAAUAAAUAAAGAAAAAAAUUAAAGACUUCCUAGAAUUCAAUGAAAAUGAAUGCACAGCAUAUUCAAGCUUAUGGGAAACUAUGAAAGCAAUGCUAAGAGGAAAGUUUAUAGCACUAAGUGCCUACAUAAAUAAUGUGGAGAAAUCUCACACUAGUGACUUAACAGUACAUCUGAAAGCUCUAGAACAAAAGGAAUCAAACUCACCCUGUAGAUGACAGGAAAUAAUCAAAAUGAGGGCUAAAAUCAAUAAAAUAGAAACAAAGAGAACAAUACAAAGAAUCAAUGAAACAAAGAGUUGUUUUUUUGAGAACAUCAACAAGCCCUUAUCCAAACUAACCAAAAGGCAGAGAGAGAUUAUCCAAAUCAACAAAAUCAGAAAUGAAAACGGGGGCAUAACAGACACUGAAGAAAUCCAGAGAAUCAUUUGAUCAUACUUCAAAAACAUGUACUCUACAAAAUUGGAAAAUGUGAAAGAAAGAAAUGGACAAUUUUCUGGAUAGAAAUUUACCACAUACCAAAAUUAAAUCAAGACAAGAUAAACAAUUUAAAUAUACCUAUAACCUCUAAGGAAAUAGAAUCAGUCAUCGAAAGUCUCCCAACAACAACAAAAAAUUCCCAGUACCAGAUGGUUUCAGCUCAGAAUUCUACCAGAAUUUCAAAGAAAUCUAAUAGCAGUACUCCUCAAGUUGUUCCACACUAUAGAAACAGAAGGAACAUUGCCAAACUCUUUUUAUGAGGCUACAGUUACCCUGAUGCUCAAACCACUCAAAGAAACAACUAAGAAAGAGAAUUACAGACUAAUCACCCUCAUGAACAUUGACACAAAAAAUACUCAAUAAAAUACUGGCAAACUGAAUCCAAGAACACAUCAGAAAAAUCAUCCACCAUGAUCAAGUAGGCUUCAUCCCAGAAAUGCAGGGAUGGUUCAGCAUACAAAAAUCUGUAAAAUGCAAUCCAUCAUAUAGAUAAACUGAAAGAAAAAAAACCACAUGAUCAUCUCAUUAGAUGCUGAAAAAGGCCUUUAACAAAACCCAACCCCUUCAUGAUAAAAGUCUUGGAAAGAUGAGGGAUACAAGGGACACACUGAAAUAUAAUAAAGUCAAUAUACAGCAAGCCAACAGCCAACAUCAAACUUAAUGGAAAAAAAACUCAAAGUGAUUUCACUAAAAUCAGGAACAAGACAAAGCUGUCUACUCUCUCCAUAUCUAUUCAAUAUAAUAUUCAUAGUUCUAGGUAGAGCAAUAGGACAACAAAAAGAGAUCAAGAGGAUACAAAUUGGAAAGGAAGAAGUCAAACUUUUGCUAAUUGCAGAUGAUAUGAUAGUAUAUAUAAAUGACCACAAAAAUUCUAACAGGGAACUCCUACAGAUGAUAAACACCUUCAGUAAUGUGGUGGUAUACAAGAUUAGCUCAAAAAAAUCAGUAGCCCUCCUAUGUACAAAUGAUAAAUGGGCUGAGAAAGAAAUCAGAGAACCAUCAUACAUUACAACAGCCAUAAACAACAUAAAAUACCUUGGGGUAACUCUAAAUAAGCAAGUAAAAGACCUAUAUGACAAGAACUUCAAGUCUUUCAAGAAAGAAAUUGAAGAAGAUAUCAGAAAAUGGAAAGAUCUCCCAUGCUCUUGGAUAGGUAGGAUCAACAUAGUAAAAAUGGCAAUCUUACCAAAAGCAAUCUACAGAUUCAAUGCAAUCCCCAUCAAAAUCCCAACAUAAUUAUUGAAAGAAUAAUACUCAACGGAAGAACAAAAAACCCAGGAUAGCCAAAACAAUCCUGUACCAUAAAAGAACUUUCAGAGGCAUCACCAUCCCUAACUUCAAGCUCUACUGUAGAGCUAUAGUGUAGUCCAGUGGUUUCUCCCAUCCUGCCUGGCCCUGCAGUCCUGCAACCACUAAUAAAAUAAUCAUUUAGAGGCUUAAUAUUAUUUACAAACUAUAUGGUCUAUGGCAAACCCCGUGUUAGUUAGCUCUUAUAUCUUAAAUUAACCCAUUUCUAUUAAUCUAUGUUUUGCUAUGUGUUCUGUGGCUUUACUGGUUUGUUGGCAUCUUGUUUUUCCUUCAGUGAUGGCUGCUGUCUCCCUAGAUUCCACCUCCCCCCUCCCCUCUUUUUUUUCUUUCUUUGGAUUUCCUGUCUCUAAGUUGCCUUGCCAUGGCCAAAGCAGCUUAUUUAUUAACCAAUGGGAGCAACAUAUAUUUACAAUGUACAGAAAAAUAUCCCCUAGCACUAAAGUAUUAAAAAACAGCUUAGUAUUGGCAUUAAAACAGACAUGUGGAUCAAUGGAAAUGAAUUGAAGACCCUGACAUUAAUCCAAACACCUAUGAACAACUGAUUUUUGAAAAAGAAGCUAAAAUUAUGUAAUGAAAAACCAAAAGCAUCUUCAACAAAUGAUGCUGGCAUAACUGGAUGUCAACAUGUAGAAGAUUGCAAAUAGAUCCAUAUCUGUCACCAUGUACAAAACUCAAGUCCAAGAGGAUCAAAGACCUCAAUAUAAAUCCAAAUACACUGAACCUGAUAGAAGAGAAAGUAGAAAGUAGUCUCGAAUGCAUUGGCACAGGAAACUACUUCCUAAAUAAAACACCAGUAGCACAGACACUGAGAACAACAAUUAACACAUGGAACCUCUUGAAACUGAAAAGCUUCUGUAAGGCAAAGGACAUAGUCCACAAGACAAAACAGCAGCCUACAGAAUGGGAAAGGAUCUUCACCAACCCCACAUGUGACAGAGGGCUGAUUUUCAAAAUAUAUAAAAGAACUCAAGAAACUAGACAUCAAAAUACCAAAUAAUCCAAUUAAAAAUGGGGUACAGAGCUAAACAGAGAAUUCUCAACAGAAGAAUCUCAAAUGGCUAAGACAUUUAAGGAAUUGCUCAACAUCCUUAGUCAUCAGGGAAAUGCAAAUCAAAAUGACUCUGAGAUACCAUCUUAUACCUGUCAGAAUGAUUAAGAUCAAAACACUGAUGACAGCUUAUGUUGAAGAGGAUGUAGAGUAAGGGGAACACUCCUACACUGUUGGUGGGAGUGCAAACUUAUACAGCAAUGUUGGAAAUCAGUAUGGCAGUUUCUCAGAAAAUUGAGAAUCAAUCUACCUCAAGACCCAGCAAUACCACUAUUGAGCGUGUACUCAAACGAUGCUCAGUCAUACCACAAGGACACAUGCUCAACCAUGUGCAUAGCAGAAUUAUUUGUAAUAGCCAGAACCUGGAAACAACCUAGAUGCCCCUCACCUGAAGAAUGGAUAAGGAAAAUGUGGUACAUUUACACAAUGGAGUAUUACUCAGUGGUUAAAAAAACAAAAAACAAAAAACAAUGGCAUCAUGAAAUUUGAAGGCAAAUGGAUAGAACUAGAAAGAAUCAUCCUGAGUGAGGUAACUCAGACCCAGAAAGACACACACAGUAUGUACUCACUCUUAAAUGGGUAUUAGAUGCAAAACAAAGGAUAACCAGGCUACAGUCCACAACCCCAGAGAAGCUAGGUAAAAAGGACCCUAAGAGGGACACACAUGGAGAGCCCCAGGAAGGGAAAAUAGUUAAGAUCUCCUGGGUAAACUGGGAGGGAGGUUAGAUGGAAAGGGAUAGUGGAUGGGAACAGGAGUGACUGAGAUGGCCAAGUGGAGGGAGGGACAGAGAGGGAGCACAAUGAAAGAGAUAUCCUGGUAGAGGGAACCAUUAGGGGGUUAGGGAGAAACCUGGUACUGGAGAAAUCCCCAGAAAUUCACAAGGAUGACUCCAGCUAAAACUCCUAGCUAUAAUGGAGAGGGUACCUGAACUUAUCUUCCCUUAUAAUCAGAUUAGUGACUACCCUAAUUGUCACCAUAGAACUACUUCCAGUAACAGAUGGAAGCAGAUGCAGUGAUCCACAACCAAGCACUGGGCUGAGCUCCUCGACUUCAAUUGAAGAGAGGGAGGAGGGAUCUCAGGAGCAAGCGAGGUCAAGAUCAUGAUGUGGAAAACCAUAGAGACAGUGCUUCCAGUGAUCAAUUCCUCCCUGCUCUCUGAAGCUGGACGAGCUCCUGAUGUCCAAUCGUGGUGCAGACUGUAAACCAUCAUAGAAUCCCGACAACUUCAUCGUCCUUCUACGCCAUCUUAAAAGAUCCACAUGGAGUCUUCUCCUGGGCCUGAUGAACAUAAAGAGAAUAAUGUGAAGAGCUACCAUGUGCUCUGCCAGGGCUGUGCUCUGGACCCAGGUGCUGGGGCUCCUGGGGAUUUCAUGUAUAUGUGUAUGAGAAGGAAAUCUGUGGAGGGCUCAAAAGUACAGAGCUUAAGACAGAGUAUCAUAAGGAAACUUUGUGGGAGGGUGGAAGUGUUUCAGUCUUGAUGUGUAUCAUAUCAUGAUCAUGUUAGUUUAUAUGUUUGUUCAGAUUUAAUAAUUGUACACUUAAUAUUUGUGUGUUCUGCUUGUAUUCAGCAAAGUUUUGUUAGUAUAAAAAUAAAGGCUACAGAGAACACUUCUCUCUCAUUCCUACUCUUUGCUUCUCUAGCCUAGAUUUCUCCUAUUUAUCCUCUCUGCCUGCUAGAUCUGCCUAUCAUUUCUAUGCCUAGCUAUUGGCCAUUCAUCCCUUUAUUAGACCAAUCAGGUGCCUUAGGCAGGCAAGGGGAGAUAAAUGCAACACAUCUUUUCAUAAUUAAACAAAUGCUGGGUAAACAAAUGUAACACAUCUUUGCCUAGUUAAAAUAAUAUCCACAAUACCCCAGUCCUUUUUCCAUUACUUUAAUGCAGCUGUAUAGUAUUCUCACAUGCCCCCUCACAUACACAGAUAUACUAAUUGCUUUACUUUUUAACCUGGCUACACUAAAUUUUGUCUUUGGCAUUGAACCCUAAGUCACUGAUAUAGACAUAGACUCUAAUUACAUAUGAUUACUUCCAUUUCUCUCUUCUAAGUAACAUUACAGUUUAAUUUGUUGCAUAUAAAGUUUUUAUUAUAUUAUGGUUUUGUAUUGUAUUAUUUUUUUCAUAUGGAACAUGAGUGAAAAACAUUUUUUUAAUUUUUAAAAGUUUAAUUAAUUACAUAUCCCCCCAUUCUUCCUACACUUCCAAUGUGUGCAUCCUCCUCCCUCCCACCAUCACGGCCUCCUCUUCUUUAACCAUCGUUAUUACAUGUAAAUAUAAAUGAAUAAAAAUACAAUCUGCUGAGUUCACUCAGGACUGCCUGUAUGUAUGUUUCGUGGGCUGACCACUUGGUAUUGGAUAGCAAAUCAGGGGCCUCAUCCCCUGGAAAAACUAAUUCUCCCUCCUUCAGCUGCUGUUAAUUGCUUGUAGCUUCCCACCUGGGGUGGGCCCCAGUAAGAUUUCCCCUUUCUGUGUUGGGAUGUCAACUGUUGCUGGAAUUGUUCAUGUCUUGUUUAGGCAGCCAUGUUGUUGAAAUUUCACGGGUAUAGUGUUUUAGGGUUUCCAUUGUUGUGAUAAAGACUAUGGCCAUAAUCAACUUGGGGAGGAAAGGGUUUAUUUUACUUCCACUUCCACAUCACACUCCACCAUUGAAAGUAGUCAGGGCAGGAACUCCAGGCAGGCACCUGGAGACAGGAACUAAUGCAGAGGUAUGGAGGAGUGUUGCUUACUGGCUUGCUUCCCAUGUAACAAAGACUAUUGAGGUCCAGCCACGUAUAAGCCUUUCCCCAGAGUUCCAGAAGAGAUGCUAUCAGUGGCAAAUUAAUUAAUCUGAGGGACGUUGAAUGAAUCUAUGUACCCCAAGCUCUUUAGUCCAUUCACUUUAUUAUUCCGCGUCAAUUCUCUCUCUACACAGCUUCUUUUGUACUCUCACACUUAGCUCCUUUCUUUCCUGAUUCUCUCUACCAUUUCCUGCUGUUCUCUUUAUGUUCUAUCUUAGUUCUCCCAUCUUAGUCCUACCCCGUCUCAGUUCUCCACCUUAGUUCCUCCCAAGUCUCUGAGGUUUACAGUUAUACACCCAUGCAAUCAGCAAUACUCUGGCCAAGGCAAGGUCACCAGGCUUGAAUUCUUUCAGAAUCAAAAGGAGGGGUGAUACGAUCCACACAAAGAGCAGUAUUUGUCAGCUGUCAUUUGCAAGCCAAAAGGGAAGUGACUAAUGGGGAAUGAAUCAGCUAAGGGCUGAAUUCAGUUAUUAGAUCUAAAAGGGGGAUUUAUGUGCUCAAACUGUAUUCUCAGAAGUGGUUAGUUAAGAUGUUAGGAGUCACUAAGUUUUGAGUGAAAAUAAAACUACUUUAUGUUCCUUUGGCACCACAUCUCCCCAAGGUUAUCUUGGCUGCACCAUUUUCUGGCAGGGGAGGGGAAGUGUACUCAGUAACUAGGCAACCUGUGUCACAGCUAGAUGUACCUGGUAUGUAAAAGCCCUUUUGUUCUGAGUUAAUUGUUAAAGGCAGAUCUUUAGAACUAGAGAUAACACUUGGAAAAAAAGAAGGGUUAAGCUAAUUAGCACAUCCACCUGGCCUGGGCAACCAGUAGUCUCAGGAACUAACAGAUAGUCUGAAUGCUUAUCUAUCUGCAGUCUGUCCUAGAAGGUCUGGGAAGUAUCUCAGAUAAAAUACUUCCAUCCAGAGAAGGUCCUGGCCAGAUGUUUGCUAGUGACGAUAAUUACAAAAAGGUCUGGAAUUAGAGGUCUGGCUGGGUGACUGCUGUCAGCACAGUUGGGGGAUGUUGUCCAAAUACUCCAAUUGUAUAAGGGACAUUGUGCCAAGUGAAUGAUUCAACCACAUUGUUAAAAGUUCUUGGGAAAAGAAUCAAAUGGGAAAGCUACAAUAGCACACAGGAAAUUCAUUGCAGGAAACAGCUUAUAUAUUCAAAAGCAUCACCAAGACUCCUUGAAUCUUGGCUUUAUCCUCUGGAAGAGUUUUUAGCUCUUCCAGGUAAUAGCUUUUGCCAUAGUCAGCUGAAUUCCUAUUUUAUAUUUCUGCAACUUGCAGCACCCAUGACUUGCUCAGAUAGCUUUCUUAUAUAACCUAGGACUUCCAGUCCAGGGGUGACAUCACCCUCAGUGGUCUGGGCCCUCCCACAUAAUUAUUAAUUAAGAAAAUGCCCUACAGACUUGCUUACAGGCAAAUCUCAUGAACGAAUUUUUUCCCAGUUGAAAGUCUCUCUUCCCAAAUGACUCUAACUGUGUCAAGUUGCCAUAAAACUAACCAGGACUUGAAGCUUUCCUGAGAUAGUAAGUUUUUAGUGGCUAUAUUAAAGUGGUAUGUCCCAGUGGCUAAGGUGCUGGGCUUUGGAGUUCAGAAAAAAGCUAGGUUCAGGUCCUUCUGUCCUUGACCUGUGUGGUGGUUUGAAAGAAAAUGACCCCCAAAGGGAAUGGCAUUAUUGGAAGGUGUGAGCUUGUAGGAGUAGGUGUAGUCUUGCUGGAGGAAGUGUGUCACUGUUGAGGCAGGCUUUGAGGUCUCAUAUAUGCUCAAGCCAUGCCCAAUGAGACAGUCUACUUCCUGUUGUCUAUAUAUCAACAUGUGGCAGCUCCUUCUCUAGUAUCAUGUCUGCCUGCAUGUUGCCAUGCUCCCACCAUAAUGAUAAAGGACUAAACCUCUGAAACUGUAAGCUGCCACCUCAAUUAAAUGUUUCCCUUAUAAGAGUUGCUGUGGUCAUGGUGUCUCUUCAUAGCAAUAGAAACCCUAAGACAACCUGGAACAAACUAAUUCAAAUCUAAUUUGGUGUUACCCUUAGAGUUGUUUUAAGGAUUAAGAUAAUGUAUAGAAAGUGUUUGGUAUUGAAUGACCACAGAAGUACCCUAUCAGCACUAGGAACAAUAUUAUUAAUUAUCUCCUUCACUACUGGAGGGUAUGCAAAAAUGCUAGCUUCUGAUCCACCCUCAGUAUUGUCUAUUAGGACCUAAAUUAUUUUCUUGAUGAAAUGAAUACAUGUUGAAUGGUCCUUGUCUGAAACUCUUAGAAUUAGAAGUGCUUCAGACUUCACAUUUUUUAGAUCCUGAAAUAUCUACAUAUCCAUAAUGAGAUAUGUUGGGGAUAAGACCCAAGGCUAAACAGGAAAUCUAUUGUAUGUUUUGAAUAAUUUGUUGUGUGAAACAAAGUUUCAUGGUGUAGAGUUUUCCACUUGUAGUGUGAUAUCUGUGCUCAAAAUAAUGUAGAGUUGGAAUUUUUGAAUUAGGGAUGUUUAGCUUGUGUGUGUGUGUGUGUGUGUGUGUGUGUGUGUGUGUGUGUGUAUGUAGUAUUGGGAGCCAAACAAUAGUAGAGUUAUAUUUUCAAUUCUCAACCUGUGUUCCAUCCUUAUUUUAAUUAUUUAAUCAUAUUACUUGGCUAAUAGGAAGCUGGACAUUUAAUUUUUUUUUUAGCAUUUUAAAUUUUAAAAAUCUUUAAAAUUUCUCCUAGAUUCUCUAUCUACUUCCUAGGUGCCUUUUAUUCACUGUUAAUUUAUGAACAGGUACACGAUAAUUAUGUUAUGGGGCAGGUUAAGCAUAGCUGCCACAUGGGACACAGUAAAGGAAGGAAACAUAUUUUCAUUAUUUCUGACAUGGACAAUAAAUAGAUAAGUGAAAGCCAGUAUGCCCCUGAGGUGGCUUCAUCACCAGCUAUGCACUCACUGCCCAUACAUGUGUUUCCUUCUUUCCAUGGCAGUUUAGUCCAGUCUAGUUGGCCAGAGAGAGCAAGGUUAGCUAACUGGAUGUGGUUCAUUUGAAUACCAGGGCAUAUUUUUGUUGUUAUUAUAUAGCUAUUUGAAUCAGUUAGUCUGUAAAGCACAUUAUUUGUGUAUGGUCAUAGCUGUUGUUGAAUUGAAAAUGUCAUUUGAGAGAUGUGUGAAACAGUGCCUGAAUGUAGAGAUCCCAGGCCAUCAUUGGCAAUACACUGUGACCUAGCUUGGCCACCGGGCAAAUCCUGACACUGCUAUGGACAAGGUGGUGCUGUUACUGGGUCAGCCUCACCUGUGCUGCCUCAUCUGUGCUGCCACUCCUCCUAGCUAGCUCCCCCAGACCCAUGUCUUUAAUAUAACAGUGUUAUAAAUAUUUCAGAACAGCAAGAGAGCGAGACCCAGAAUCUCCCUGCCCAACUCUCUAUUUUACACCGUUUGCAACAACACUCUGCUCAGACCUAGAUGAUUCACCGUGUUUAUGGCUUCUGUUUCAGGCAGUUUCAGUCACUAGUGAUCAUCCUGCCUGGAGCCUAUGUAGCUAGCCUGCCUAGAGUGGGAAUUAGGGGACACCUAUGCAAAUGAGAACUGAGAAGAAGCUGUGCCUUCAGAGACUGACUGAUUAGAACAGCAGUACUGUGGGGAGAUCAGCUAAGUACCUAAUCUAGGUCUAGCUACCGUCUUCCAACAGCCAUCCCUUACCUACCUCUGCAUCAGAACAUCCCAUGACAAAUAGAUGAAAACCUUUUGAAAUCUAUUAACUUAGCAGACCACUAGCUCCCACCAAUCCAAACACUAAGAAUGUCAUAAGAUAGCAUCUUAUAGAAAAGCUCCCCCAAUCCUGCUGUACCUGCCUUUCUGAUGUACCCUUCAAUGUAUUUUAAACAUGCCUUGAUUUAUGACUUUGUUGUGUAAAACUAUAAAACUUCAUGAAACUGCUUCCACAUUGGAACAUGGAACUUGGGGUAACGUGAAUCUGUUCCCAGGCCAUGGUCACUCAAAAUGGCUCCAGAAUAAACUAUCUCUUACUACUACCCUUAA
Molecule: long non-coding RNA, 11656 nt
Organism: Peromyscus californicus insignis
Lineage: Eukaryota; Metazoa; Chordata; Mammalia; Rodentia; Cricetidae
Exons: 2
Source: RefSeq, a predicted model, not a curated record